GACAGAGGGGGCAAGCGUUGCUCGGAAUCACUGGGCGUAAAGGGCGCGUAGGCGGGAUGGCAAGUCAGUCGUGAAAUCUCUCGGCUCAACCGAGAAACGUCGGCUGAUACUGCCGUUCUUGAGGGAUGCAGAGGAGACUGGAAUUCCCGGUGUAGCGGUGAAAUGCGCAGAUAUCAGGAGGAACACCGAUGGCGAAGGCAGGUCUCUGGGCCGGAUACUGACGCUGAGGAGCGAAAGCGUGGGGAGCGGACAGG
This 254-nucleotide ribosomal RNA is filed under the name uncultured bacterium. RNAcentral's name for it is "partial 16S ribosomal RNA". It matches the Rfam family "Bacterial small subunit ribosomal RNA", at positions 524 to 776 of the family's 1533-position model. The record is from RNAcentral.